GACAGAGGGUGCAAACGUUGUUCGGAAUUACUGGGCGUAAAGCGCAUGUAGGCGGCCACGCAGGUCGGAUGUGAAAUCCCUCGGCUCAACCAAGGAAGUGCAUUCGAAACCGCAUGGCUGGAGUCCCGGAGAGGGUAGUGGAAUUCUCGGUGUAGAGGUGAAAUUCGUAGAUAUCGAGAGGAACACCGGCGGCGAAAGCGGCUACCUGGACGAGGACUGACGCUGAGAUGCGAAAGCGUGGGGAGCAAACAGG
Molecule: ribosomal RNA, 253 nt
Filed under: uncultured bacterium
Lineage: Bacteria
Description: partial 16S ribosomal RNA
Rfam family: Bacterial small subunit ribosomal RNA
Source: RNAcentral